GAAAUAUGCCGUCUCAAAUAAAAGCCGCUAACUUUUAUAUUUAAUGGUUAAACUCCAUUUAUAUUUCU
RNAcentral lists this transfer RNA (68 nucleotides) under Azana sp. WQY005. RNAcentral's name for it is "tRNA-Ser". The record is from RNAcentral. Lineage: Eukaryota; Metazoa; Arthropoda; Insecta; Diptera; Mycetophilidae.